Molecule: ribosomal RNA, 492 nt
Filed under: uncultured bacterium
Lineage: Bacteria
Description: partial 16S ribosomal RNA
Rfam family: Bacterial small subunit ribosomal RNA
Source: RNAcentral
AGUGAACGCUGGCGGUAGGCCUAACACAUGCAAGUCGAACGGCAGCACAGUAAGAGCUUGCUCUUACGGGUGGCGAGUGGCGGACGGGUGAGGAAUACAUCGGAAUCUACUUUUUCGUGGGGGAUAACGUAGGGAAACUUACGCUAAUACCGCAUACUACCUACGGUUGAAAGCAGGGGAUCUUCGGACCUUGCGCGAUUGAAUGAGCCGAUGUCGGAUUAGCUAGUUGGCGGGGUAAAGGCCCACCAAGGCGACGAUCCGUAGCUGGUCUGAGAGGAUGAUCAGCCACACUGGAACUGAGAAACGGUCCAGACUCCUACGGGAGGCAGCAGUGGGGAAUAUUGGACAAUGGGCGCAAGCCUGAUCCAGCCAUACCGCGUGGGUGAAGAAGGCCUUCGGGUUGUAAAGCCAUUUUGUUGGGAAAGAAAAGCAGCAGGUUAAUACCCCGCUGUUCUGACGGUACCCAAAGAAUAAGCACCGGCUAACUUCGUG